Camellia sinensis is the source of this 419-nucleotide long non-coding RNA. RefSeq lists it as uncharacterized. NCBI's taxonomy places the organism in Eukaryota, Viridiplantae, Streptophyta, Magnoliopsida, Ericales, Theaceae. The record is from RefSeq and is a predicted model, not a curated record.
AAAAAAAAAAAAGAAAGAAAGAACAGAGCGUAGAGAGAAAGGAGACGAAGCCGACGACGACGAAGAGAGAGGAGCCGUCCUGUGUGUCGCCAACCAGGCUGCGUCCUCUGCUGAUGCUGCUGUGUGUGCCAUUGUUUCUGUGUAUGGCGCAAGAGUGCUGCCGGUGCUGCUGCUGGGAUGAGAUGGAUCCGGGCGUCGUCGUUACCGUAUGAGUGGAGAGGGACCUGGAUCAGCGGAAUGGUUUGGUUUGGAGUCAGAUGAGAGGAGAGAGAAUAUAACUCAGAUUUCGGGCCAAUCAAGCCACUGGGUUUCAAGCUACAAAGCAUUAUGCAUUUUUAAAUUAAGUAAUGUUAGAAUUAUCAUAUUUUGAUACUAUAUAAUGUAACAUCUUACAUAAUACUAAUUACAUCAUUUGACAA